AAUCUUGCGCAAUGGGCGAAAGCCUGACGCAGCCAUGCCGCGUGAAUGAUGAAGGUCUUAGGAUUGUAAAAUUCUUUCACGUGGGAAGAUAAUGACGGUACCCGGAGAACAAUCCCCGGCUAGCUCCGUCCCAGCAGCCUCGGUAAUACGAAGGGGGCUAGCGUUGCUCGGAAUUACUGGGCGUAAAGGGCGCGUAGGCGGAUCGUUAAGUCAGGGGUGAAAUCCCAGGGCUCAACCCUAGAACUGCCUUUGAUACUGGCGAUCUUGAGUAUGAGAGAGGUAUGUGGAACUCCGAGUGUAGAGGUGAAAUUCGUAGAUAUUCGGAAGAACACCAGUGGCGAAGGCGACAUACUGGCUCAUUACUGACGCUGAGGCGCGAAAGCGUGGGGAGCAAACA
Molecule: ribosomal RNA, 397 nt
Filed under: uncultured bacterium
Lineage: Bacteria
Description: partial 16S ribosomal RNA
Rfam family: Bacterial small subunit ribosomal RNA
Source: RNAcentral